Molecule: long non-coding RNA, 375 nt
Organism: Spea bombifrons (plains spadefoot toad)
Lineage: Eukaryota; Metazoa; Chordata; Amphibia; Anura; Pelobatidae
Exons: 3
Source: RefSeq, a predicted model, not a curated record
UCCUACUUGGCCUGUGGCGUAAGGGCAUUCUGGGAAUUGUAGUUUCACAUCGCUCUACGUAUUGUUGAGCCCCAGAGCAUCUGCCAUAUAGUAGAACUACAUAUCCCAGCAACCACCGGGAGCUGCUCUCGGGCUCCUCACAGUGGCCACAGUUUAUUGUGCAGCUGCAGUAGGAGUUGAGGUGAAGACAAGGAGUGACCGGCAGCGGAUUAUUUAUAUUUUGUAAGAUAAAUUGAACAGCCUCCCAUCAGAAGCGGUAGGGGCUAAUACAGUGAGGGAUCUAAAACAAGACCAAGGACUGAUUAAGGAAAGGUUGUUGGGGAAUUCUAUCACAUUUAUCUUCGAGGGUCGUAAGCGGAGUGUCCGUCAAAAGCC